RNAcentral lists this ribosomal RNA (496 nucleotides) under uncultured bacterium. RNAcentral describes it as "partial 16S ribosomal RNA". It matches the Rfam family "Bacterial small subunit ribosomal RNA", at positions 28 to 506 of the family's 1533-position model. The record is from RNAcentral.
GAUGAACGCUGGCGGCGUGCCUAACACAUGCAAGUCGAGCGAACAGACGAGGAGCUUGCUCCUCUGACGUUAGCGGCGGACGGGUGAGUAACAUGUGGAUAACCUACCUAUAAGACUGGGAUAACUUCGGGAAACCGGAGCUAAUACCAGAUAAUAUAUUGAACCGCAUGGUUCAAUAGUGAAAGACGGCUUUGCUGUCACUUAUAGCUGGAUCCGCGCCGCAUUAGCUAGUUGGUAAGGUAACGGCUUACCAAGGCAACGAUGCGUAGCCGACCUGAGAGGGUGACAGGCCACCCUGAAACUGAGACCCGGUCCAGAAUCCUACGGGAGGCAGAGGGAGGGAAACUUCCGAAAGGGGGGAAAGCCUGUCGAAGCAACGCCGGGGGAGUGAUGAAGGUCUUCGGAUGGUAAAACGCUGUUAUGGGGGAAAAACAAAUGUGUAAGUAACGAUGCACGUCUGAACGGAACCGAAGCAGAAGGCCCGGGCUACCUACGG